Molecule: transfer RNA, 65 nt
Filed under: Phyllochaetopterus sp. AW-2015
Lineage: Eukaryota; Metazoa; Annelida; Polychaeta; Chaetopteridae
Description: tRNA-Gly
Source: RNAcentral
ACCUUUUUAGUAUAGCUGUACAGCCGUCUUCCACACGGCAAGCCUAAAUAAACUUAGACAAGGUA